Harmonia axyridis is the source of this 1657-nucleotide long non-coding RNA. RefSeq lists it as uncharacterized. The transcript has 2 exons. Lineage: Eukaryota; Metazoa; Arthropoda; Insecta; Coleoptera; Coccinellidae. The record is from RefSeq and is a predicted model, not a curated record.
CAAUGAAUUAUAUGAACAUCUCUUAAUUAUCUUUUACGCAACAUCUGCAAGGUUUUACGCAACAUCUGCAAGGUUAUAUAUAAUAUUAUCGACAAGCAAUAUCUAGGGCGAAAUGUAGGAGAAAAUGACAAUUGCAAGGAAAACACCACAUACAUCUCCUCUCCCUCUCUAAGUCUCAAGACAACAAAUAGUGAUAAAUAUUUCCCAACUGAAUGAGCAGGAUAAAUUCCCAAUCUUCCUGUUAUAUGAUAUAUUUUCAACUGAAAUAUACACCAUCUAUUUUCAAUGAAGUUUCCUUCGUAGAUUCCAUCACCAUUUGAAGUUAUUCUCAGCCGACAGCAACCAAAGAACUUUCAUGAUUUCAUUAUGUUUGCGUACAUUCUUCUAGAACCUCCCAAAACCUGGAUGAACAAUUAAUUGAUUCAUGGAAAAAGUCCAGGCAUCCCAAUUCUCAACCGCCUCUGUACCUUCGUUUCCCCGUCGCUAGAGCUGAUACUCAAAAUCUUAGAUUUCUAAAACUACCAAUAUAUACUAAAAAUUUCAUAGAAAUGCGAGAAAUUUAUAAAAAAAAUCUCACUGGCGAUCAUAUGCGUAACAAGAGGGUUGUUGGGGACAUUAACCCCAUUACCUGGAAGAAAUAGAAAAAAUUGUGUUACAUAAAAAUCAUAAAAAUUUAAAGAUUUUGCUCUUUCAAAGUAGAGGUCAACCCUAGUCAUCUCGGAUCUCGGGGAAUCCCCUUAUUUUGUCUAAUCGUGCACAAGCUCGCAGAAAUAUAUGCCGUGCGACUCAUGCGUAUCAAGCUCAAGUAAUAUCAAGUAGUUUGAUAUCAAGCUAUAAAUAUUUCAAAUCGAGUCAACUUCAAGUAAUUUAUUUCUCACGCGCUAUUAGUCAAAAUGUCUAGCUUGUUGACUUGAUGAAUCCCUAUGUUAUAUAUUUAUUUAAAAAACAACAAAAACGAGUUUCUUGUAAAAUUUCAUGUUGGUCGCAUCAACAGAACCAGAGAAAAGCCAAGGUAAAAAAGGUCACAAAAUAUUUCUAUGACCACGGUGAGCGAUUUUGGGUAUAGGUAAAAACUAGCAAUUUCAAACUUCGUGCAGAAAUACGAGCUUAUCACAUCAACAGAAUGGAGUAGACAAAUAUCCAAUAAAUCCAAGAAAUUGAAACCAAGCAAAACUACUUGAAUCUUGAAAACUCUUGUUAACUCUGGAAUAAGAUUCCCAUGGCUUUUUUAUGUCUUUUUAAUUAUUUAAAUCAAUAUUGAUUAUCGAUUUGAGCUUAGCGAUUCUGAAUUCUGUAAACGAAGAGGUUCAUGCUCUGUGUAUAAUGAUUUAUAAAUAAGUAUCCCAUGGAGACUCAAAUCUAUGUACAACCGGUUAGAUCAUUUGUUGAUAGUAAACACUGGAAAUGAAGGUCAAGUUGUUUUUAUAUAUGUGCAAUAUGAUUAUAAAUUCCGUUAUUUGAAAAAUUCUGAUCGUGCAGACAACUUCUUGUGUUUUAAAUAAAAUCUAUUCGAUCGUCUUCUCACAAUGAAAGCUGCCCUGGUGUUGUUGUUCAUCUGCACAUUAUUGCAGAUGACCCUUCCGACUAAUGCAGAAUGUAAAUGUUUCGAAGAGUUCCAUGCCGUGAUACAAAACGGCAAAGAGUUAUGUAGAGGGGA